GUGGGGAAUCUUGCGCAAUGGGCGAAAGCCUGACGCAGCCAUGCCGCGUGAAUGAUGAAGGUCUUAGGAUUGUAAAAUUCUUUCACCGGGGACGAUAAUGACGGUACCCGGAGAAGAAGCUCCGGCUAACUUCGUGCCAGCAGCCGCGGUAAUACGAAGGGGGCUAGCGUUGCUCGGAAUUACUGGGCGUAAAGGGCGCGUAGGCGGACAGCUUAGUCAGAGGUGAAAGCCCAGGGCUCAACCUUGGAAUUGCCUUUGAUACUGGCUGUCUUGAGUUUGGGAGAGGUGAGUGGAAUUCCGAGUGUAGAGGUGAAAUUCGUAGAUAUUCGGAAGAACACCAGUGGCGAAGGCGACUCACUGGCCCGUUACUGACGCUGAGGCGCGAAAGCGUGGGGAGCAAACAGGAUUAGAAACCCGUGUAGUCC
Molecule: ribosomal RNA, 425 nt
Filed under: uncultured bacterium
Lineage: Bacteria
Description: partial 16S ribosomal RNA
Rfam family: Bacterial small subunit ribosomal RNA
Source: RNAcentral